CCAUCACCUGUGCCACGCCCGUCACCUGUGCCACGCCCUACACCUGCGGGGAUUGUGGGAAGGGAUUCGGGGGAAGCUCCGCCCUCAUCCGGCACCAGCGGCUGCACCUGGGCUAGGAAAAACCGGAACCGGAAUUGAAACCGGGACCGGGACUGGGAAAGUUCUGGAACCGGAACUGGAACUGGGAUCAGAACCUGAACUGAGACCAGAACCGGAACCAGAAUUGAAACUGGGACUGGGAAAGUUCCGGAACCGGAACUGGACCUGAACCGGGAUAGGGAAACUUCCAGAACCAGGACUGGAACUGGAACUGGAACCUGAACUGAGACCGGAACCGGAACCGGAAUUGGGACCAGAACCAGGACUGGGAAACAACAAAACCAGGACUGGAACUGGGUCCAGAACCGGAUCUGGAACCGGGAUCAGAACCAGGACCUGGACCAGGAGAACUCCAGAACAGGGAAAUUUCUGGAACUGGAACCGGGACCAGAACUGGGACUGAGAAACAACAAAACCAGGACUGGAACUGGGACACUAACUGGAACCGGAGCCCUCCAGAACCGGGACUGAAACUGGAACCGGAACCAGGACUGGAACCAGGAAACCACCGGAACUGGGACCUUUCUAGAGUCAGAACUGGGACCAGGAACCUUCCAGAACCCUCUGGAACCGGGACCAUUCCAGAACCUGGAACCUUCCAGAACUGGGACCCUUCCGGAGCCAGAACCGGGACCUUUCCAGAACCGGGACCCUUCUGGGUUGGACCCUUCUGAACUGGAGCCCUUUGGAACCGGGAACCUUCCGGAACCGGGACAGGAGGGGAAAGGACUCGAGGGGGCGUCCCCGUGGCCAUGGAGCUGUGGGGGAACCCCCGACCCUGGGAAUCCAUUCCUGACCCCCCAAAAUCCAUUCCGGACCUUUGGGAAUCCAUUCCGGACCCCCAAAUCCAUUCCUGAUCCCCAAAAUCCAUUCCGGACCCCCAAAUCCAAUCCUGACCCCCCCAAAAUCCAUUCCGGACCUUUGGGAAUCCAUUCCUGA
This 1038-nucleotide long non-coding RNA is filed under the name Zonotrichia albicollis (white-throated sparrow). RNAcentral describes it as "lncRNA (ENSZALG00000000505.1)". The record is from RNAcentral. Lineage: Eukaryota; Metazoa; Chordata; Aves; Passeriformes; Passerellidae.